This 148-nucleotide small RNA is filed under the name Macaca fascicularis (crab-eating macaque). RNAcentral describes it as "Metazoan signal recognition particle RNA (ENSMFAG00000065140.1)". The record is from Rfam by way of RNAcentral. Lineage: Eukaryota; Metazoa; Chordata; Mammalia; Primates; Cercopithecidae.
GCUGGGCAUGGUGGCGUGUGCCUGUAAUCCCAGCUACUCAGGAGGCUGAGGCAGGAGAAUCGCUGGAACUCGGGAGGCAGAGGGUGCAGUGAGCCGAGAUUGGACCACUGCACUCCAGCCUGGGUGACACAGCAAGACUCUAUCUCAA